Molecule: transfer RNA, 68 nt
Filed under: Planctomycetaceae bacterium
Lineage: Bacteria; Pseudomonadati; Planctomycetota; Planctomycetia; Planctomycetales; Planctomycetaceae
Description: tRNA-OTHER
Rfam family: tRNA
About the family: Transfer RNA (tRNA) molecules are approximately 80 nucleotides in length. Their secondary structure includes four short double-helical elements and three loops (D, anti-codon, and T loops).
Source: RNAcentral
CGGGGCGUGGCGCAGCCUGGCUAGCGCGCCUGCUUUGGGAGNNGGAGGUUCGAAUCCUCUCGCCCCGA